Egretta garzetta (little egret) is the source of this 1666-nucleotide long non-coding RNA. RefSeq lists it as uncharacterized. The transcript is spliced from 5 exons. Lineage: Eukaryota; Metazoa; Chordata; Aves; Pelecaniformes; Ardeidae. The record is from RefSeq and is a predicted model, not a curated record.
GAUCCUAUGCUGUCAAAAACUGCACAGGUGCUUCAUUCUCUUGCUUUUUGGCUGAUACUCUCACUGGAUGGAGGUUUCAUUUUUGCACUGAAUGUAGCCAGGACGGAUCCUUGUGGGCUUUGGCAGCCCUUGGAAACUGUCAAAGGCAGUAUUUUGCAUUUCUGCAGAGCUUUGCACAGAUCCUGUUCCCAUGCAAACUGAUGAGGGAGAAAUACUGGAGGAAGGCAGUCCCAAGGUCAGUGAGAUGGAACAUGAGGAUUUUGUAAUGGAGGGGCAUGGCAAGACUCCACCUCCUGGUGAAGAAAACAAACAGUCUGGUUGAUAAGUGGCUGUUCCCUCCCCCAAGUUGCCGCUUCCUCAGGAGCUGCCUGAGGUAACUGCCCUCUGAUGUGUCAUUUAUAUCGAUGGCUGGACGUUGCUUUCUCUUUAGUAUUUCAUUGCUGUUUAGAUGGCAACUGUUGGAUGACCUCUUACAUAGGCGUGAGAUUAACAGAGUUAAAGAAUAGCAAGCAAAAUCACUUAAGGGCUGUUAAUAAUUUUGAUCCCUGUCUAAAUUAGUGUUUUGUCUAUAUUCUUAAUGUAAAAAUAUAUUUUAGUUUAGACAAAUUUCUGUGGUAUCUACACCAAGUUAGUGCCACACAUUUUGAUUUGGGAAGGAUUCAAUUCUUGUGACUGUUAGUGCCUAAGUCAGUGGCAUCAUAAAUGUGUAUGAAUUACAGUCUUGAAACUUACUUUUUUUCCCCUUUGCAUCCAAUUCAAGUUGCUCAGUGCUUUUUUCCCUGCUUCAUUCUCUUCAAAGAAUGAAUACAUUUGUCAAGUCUUUGGUAUUUUUUGUGUGUACACCUGAAUGAAUGGUUGAAUCUUCCUUUAAAAGAGAUGAAGGGGGUAAAGAAAAAAAAUUCUAAUGGCUGUAUGUUAAAUUAGAGUUUGUGCUCUCUUAUUGUGUCCUGUGUCCAGAAAAUAGAAAUUUUGGUGACUAUCCAUUAUGCCUUAGAGAUACCAGAGGUUAAAGGAUAAAAAAAGCAAAUGGUCUUAAAGUCCAGGAAAUUGUUUCUAAGUUGCAGAUCCCAUUUAGACCCUUCAGGGAGUGACCAUUAUUGGUUAAAGAAGGGGAGGGAAGGGGAAAAAAAGCAAGCUCUUUAUUCCAUGUAGAAGAUACGACUUACUUUGUAUGACUAAAAAUACUGUGCUCUGUGGUCAACAUGGUAUGAAUUAAAAACUUGUUUACAGAGAUAUUUUGGAGCUCUUAAGCUGCAUUGCUCCUCUGGCAUGCUGUGAUCUGGAGAGCUGGUAUGAUUUCUUUUACUCCUACCUAGAUAAUGGAAUUUGCUGAACCCUUUGCCCUUCAUCGAAGUAGAUCAUAUUUGGGGGUCAUACUGGUUUUAGGUUAGUGCAUGCAUUUGAAUAUUUGUGACAGCUACAGCUUGUAGAAUUUUCUGCAUGGAUAGCUAGCUGUUCCUUUCCUGACAUUUCAAACUGAAGGGCUGUACAUGAAGGCAAAUUACUUGGGGAAGAUGUUCAAGUCACUUGGAAAGAUCAGUUUACAGAUUUUUGUAGCAAUAAAUAGUGCUUUUAUUAGAAAAAUGAGUCAAAUUAGGGAAAUCUUCUCUUACAGUAAUCCACUGAAUAUGCAUUCUUUUUGUAUUCUGCUUUUACUUUGGGGUUU